Molecule: long non-coding RNA, 951 nt
Filed under: Jatropha curcas
Lineage: Eukaryota; Viridiplantae; Streptophyta; Magnoliopsida; Malpighiales; Euphorbiaceae
Description: long non-coding RNA (JCUR_LNC001714)
Source: RNAcentral
UAGAAUCAAAGCCAGAACAUAGCCUUUUUGAAAUGGAGGCAGUAGAGGUGCUUAGAUUUUUUGCAUGAUUUCAAUUAAAAGAUAAGCCAUUAAUUUUUCAAACUUCCUUUUUAUCUCCAAAACAAAUUAAAUUCUCUCUCAUAAGAUCUUCAUCUUCCUUUUUUUUUUCAUCCGCCGGUUUCCGCUGUAACUCCUAAUGAUUGUGUAAGACCACAAACUAUUCAGGAGUCCAAAUUGGCCCAUAAGGAUGACAGAUACAAGCAGAAGUCCAAAGAGUGAAGCCAAAUCCAUAAUUCGAGCAUUCAGUUCGAUCUUCAGCUCUAAUCCGAUUCUACUAAGCCACCUGCUAUGAAUCGGUGACAAGUAUAUGGUGACAAGUAUAUACUGAAGCAUAUGAGCAAAAAUUAGAGUAUUUAGUGUUUCAUGCUAUUAUAAAUCAAGUAUCAUGUGAUUUUAUUAUUUUGCUAAAAAUAGAAGAAUACGUGGUUUUGUGAGCUUCAUUCUGUAAAGUAUUUAAAAGUGAUCAAUUUGCUUAAGUAUUUGAUUGAUAGCUACUCAAAAAUAACUUAAUGUAUCAAAAAGGAUUAAAAAAUUUUAUUGUUAGUUGAGUAGUUUUAAAAUAAGUAGAUAGGACCUUAUUUAUAGCUUAUUUGAAGUAGUUUUUCUAAUUUGUAGGUCAAAUUAAACAUCAUUCUAUUUAAAAAUAUAGAUUUGAGUAAUUUAAAAGCCAAACCCAACACCUCUUUAUUUUUUACUGGCAUCUCUAAUAUUUUUACUUUAUUAAAGCACAAUAUAAGACUUCACAACAUAAGAACACACCUUUUGCUUGCUCCUCUCUUGUCCGAAGCUUUUACUUGAUAGUACACAUCUUUCUCGACGAGGAGGAGUGAUUUUAGUAUUGGGAAUAUUUCCUCUCAAAAACUUAUAUGCAUUUGGAAAGUUUUAAUUCAC